This is a long non-coding RNA of Misgurnus anguillicaudatus (oriental weatherfish), 629 nucleotides long. RefSeq lists it as uncharacterized. Lineage: Eukaryota; Metazoa; Chordata; Actinopteri; Cypriniformes; Cobitidae. The record is from RefSeq and is a predicted model, not a curated record.
GUGAAAUCGUCUCAGUUUAAAUGAGUAUGAAGCUGCUACCGUACUAGCUAGUAAACGUAAACAUUAGAAAAUAAUAAUAAAUGUGUCACAAUCUCUGUUUUAAUCAACUUCCCUGUGAGGUGACAUGAAACGCUCCCUCUGGCACGAUAAUCUCAAUAAUAUCCUGUAGUGUGUGAUGGGCAAUGAUUUUCAAAUGUUAUAUUGUGAGCAUGUUUAAGAUUUGAGAGAAUAUCUGUCAAGAGUCUCUGUAUGUGUGUGCUGCAACUAGAUUUCAUAACCGGCCAGGUUUUUUUUAAUCUUGUAGUGUGAGCCCGGCUUUACCAAACUGAACCUUUUAUAAUACAUUUCAGCAAAUUUUCCAGCUGAAGCUGUAACGUCCACAACUAAAACCAAAGCUGAUGUUUUGCUUAAUACACAACAGAAGAAGAAACAUACUGUUACUGAAGAGAAUGAAAAUGUUUAUCACGUGUACUGCAUCAUCCCAGACAAACCAGUAAGAGCUGUUGCUGAAGAUCACAUCUAGAGUUUGGCUACCUUUACUCAAUACUUUGUUCAUUAUCUUCUUCAUUUAUUAUUUAUUAACCUGACAUUAUUUGUUAAAUGUUUAAAUGAUAAACAUUCGUGAAGGU